AAGCAUUAAUGGAAAAAAUUGAUGAUCCUGGGAAGCAGUUAAGACAGUGCAUCCGCUUCAUUGGCUCGCAGGAAGUAUUUUUUCUCUUAGGAAUAUAAUUUCUGAAAAGCAGAUUUCUAGAAAGAAAAUGCCUGAAGAAAUACUUUUGGCAUGUUUGGUUGACAAUGGAAAAGUGACAGAUUUGCAUAGUGCUUAUGUUUGGUUGACCAUCUACUUUUCUAGAAAAGUUAUGUAUAAUUCCUAUUAUACCCUUAAUAAAAAUUAGGUUUUUAAUGCCUUUUUAAUGCUGAAGGGCAUUUUUGAAAAAAAAUAAAAAUGAAGUGAUUUCCGGUUAAUGGAAAAAUAACUUUUUCAUGUUUCUCAUGGGAAAUACUUUUCUAUAAAACAUGGGAAUUAUAUUUCCAUGGAAAUACAACUUUUCCUUCUCUCUCCUUUGAAAAUUUCAACCAAAUAAGAGGCAUCUCAUUACUUUUCCGUUGACCACACUUUUUCCCUUUUUUUCUAGGAACGAAACGAGCCCGUAUAACUAUUUUGGGCCUCAAAGGGAUGGUCGUAGCAAGUUUCUUAUAGAAUGUUCAGACUUUACAGAAGAAACGUGAUGCCAGUGCCUAUUGAUCGGAGUAGCCAAUUGAUUAAAGCAUGGUCCGAGG
This 650-nucleotide long non-coding RNA is filed under the name Phoenix dactylifera (date palm). RNAcentral's name for it is "long non-coding RNA (PDAC_LNC019983)". Lineage: Eukaryota; Viridiplantae; Streptophyta; Magnoliopsida; Arecales; Arecaceae. The record is from RNAcentral.